RNAcentral lists this ribosomal RNA (893 nucleotides) under uncultured eukaryote. Its description in RNAcentral is "SSU rRNA". It matches the Rfam family "Eukaryotic small subunit ribosomal RNA", at positions 556 to 1467 of the family's 1831-position model. The record is from RNAcentral.
CGAAUUCGCCCUUGUGCCAAGCAGCCGCGGUAAUUCCAGCUCCAAUAGCGUAUAUUAAAGUUGUUGCGGUAAAAAAGCUCGUAGUUGGGUUUCUUCUGAGAAUGAGCGGUCUACACCAUGUGUACGCAUCUGCUUCAGUCUCGGAAUCCUCGCAGAAUACGUCUCUGCGCUUGAUUGCGUGGAACGGACUCUGUGACUUUUACUUUGAGGAAAUUAGAGUGUUCACGGCAGGCUAUCGCCAGAAUACAUUAGCAUGGAAUAAUAAUAUAGGAUCUUGAUUCUAUUUUGUUGGUUUCUAGAAUUGAGAUAAUGAUUAAUAGGGACAAUUGGGGGCAUUCGUAUCAACACGUCAGAGGUGGAAUUCUUGGAUUGUGUUGCGACGAACUACUGCGAAAGCAUUUGCCAAGGAUGUUUUCAUUGAUCAAGAACGAAAGUAAGGGGAUCGAAGACGAUUAGAUACCGUCGUAGUCUUUACCAUAAACUAUGCCAACUAGAGAUGGGUGAUCGUUCACUUACGACUUCAUCUGCACCUUAUGAGAUAUCAAAGUUUUUGGGUUCCGGGGGGAGUAUGGUCGCAAGUCUGAAACUUAAAGGAAUUGACGGAAGGGCACCACCAGGAGUGGAGCCUGCGGCUUAAUUUGACUCAACACGGGGAAACUCACCAGGUCCAGACAUAAUAAGGAUUGACAGAUUGAUAGCUCUUUCUUGAUUUUAUGGGUGGUGGUGCAUGGCCGUUCUUAGUUCGUGGAGUGAUUUGUCUGCUUAAUUGCGUUAACGAACGAGACCUUAACCUGCUAAAUAGAAGCGCAUAUCCUCGGAUAAGCGCCUUUCUUCUUAGAGGGACUUUAUGCGUUUCACGCAUGAGGAAGUUUGAGGCUAAAACAGGUCUGUGA